This 306-nucleotide ribosomal RNA is filed under the name Triticum aestivum (bread wheat). RNAcentral's name for it is "partial small subunit ribosomal RNA". The record is from RNAcentral. Lineage: Eukaryota; Viridiplantae; Streptophyta; Magnoliopsida; Poales; Poaceae.
AUGGAGAUUGUACUGAAGAGAUAUGGUUUGCAUGAUCAACUUUCACUGUAUAAGAGCAUGCUUAUGGACGAUCUAGAUUCAGGUUGUGAAGCAGGAGUACUCAAAGUGCUAAGCGAAGUUGAUGAAGAAAUGGAAAGAGAAGACUUAUCCAUACAGGAAAAAUUGGAUAUGGAGCUGCAAGAUCUAAAUAAAGGACUUCAGCAAAAGGAGUUGCUAUUUUCCUUUCAUUAUGAUUGUAAUUGUUCAUAUACGAAUUUAAAACUUAUCUGGCUCGACCUGGACACUUUGUUCACAUGUACUAAAUAA